This 11340-nucleotide long non-coding RNA is filed under the name Cucumis sativus (cucumber). RNAcentral describes it as "long non-coding RNA (CSAT_LNC002604)". The record is from RNAcentral. Lineage: Eukaryota; Viridiplantae; Streptophyta; Magnoliopsida; Cucurbitales; Cucurbitaceae.
AUUGCUGUAGUCUCUAUUGCAUUUCUAUUAAAGUUAUGGAAAUAAAACCGUAAUUACACUAAAUCAAAAUAUGAUGGUAGAUAUUAUAAAAAUCUGAUAAAAAGCAGAUCUUUGCAAUAACAUACUAAAACCCAAACAUGGGGAAAAGAAAAACUACAGAAGCCACUCCUUCCAUUCCCCAUGAAUUUAUUUCUCAAACUUCCACACUUCACACAUUUCAUCAAACACAAACUUUUUACUUUUUUUAUUAUUUCAUCCCAUAUUCCACACCUUGUCUUAUGGUUUUGCACCCUCUACUACUUCACCAGCGUACCUGCAGCACCUGUACACGCAUGGACCAUAUGUGCAACCUCUGCCGUAGCCACCACUAUAGCCACCAAGACCGAAGUCAUCACGACCAUAGCCACCACGAUGCUAACCACCACCACCGCUGUAGAUUUUGUCGUUCCGUCCUCCAUACUUAGCAUCCUCUACGCCAUUGGUUUCCACUGUGGCCUCUGCAAUGAAGGCGAGAAGAAGGCCGAGGAAAACAAAGGCUUUUGAACUCAUGUUUGUGUUUAAUAAGAGAUUGCUUUUGGGAGAUAUGGAUGAGAAAGAUUUGAAUUCUUAUGGUAUUUAUUGGUACAUAAAAGAGAAAGGGAGAUGAGAAUAUUGAGACAAUUGCAAUUAAAGACUGGCCCGUAAUUUAGUUGGGCAUUAGAUGAACUGAUUGAGAAGUAUUCUGAAAUGAAGAAGGAAAUUAAAAUUUGAGUCAGCUCUCUUAAAUAAUCUUUAUCGUUUAAAUGAUUUGUAAUUAGUCAAACUCUUUAGUAGUGUGACUGUAUCAAACUCCAAGAGCUUCUUUUAGCCAAUUAUCAAUAAUAAUAAUAAAUAUAAUUCUGGAAAAACAAUUUCUAGCAUGCUUUCAUUUUCUAUUCCUAAACUUGGUAAACAAAAUUCUUUGUCUUAAAAAUUAAAACUAAUAUUUUCAUAAAUUAUUUAGCAAAGUUGUUGGAAUAUGGACUGGUUUAUGAUUGUACCAAACAGCAAAAACAAGUUACAAACUACGAACCCAACUAUAUCGUUUAGAAACUGAGAGACCCACGUGGCGGAUGUUGCCUCACCCAAAAGCCACCGGAAAUUGCCUUCACUGGAGACCCACAUGUCGAACAACCAACUGCAAACCCCAAGAACAACCACGGCUGAAACAACCUCUCUGAUGGCUCGAACCCACUGCUAAACCAGCCGCCACACCGCGCGAAAUCCGCCGGUAGAACAUGGAAACUCGCCGACGUUAAAGCUCAGUCAGACGCCGUACUGCCCGAAAAACGAGACCGAAACGCGGAUGCUAAAGCUCUCUCCUCACCGGAAAACGCCCGACCCGACGAAGAACCUCAGAAUCUCCGUCGCGUGGCCGUCCGGUAAACGCCAUCAACGUCAACCCGUUCACCGUCGGCCCCUGCUCUUCUCUCUACUGUGUUUGUAGAAGAAACUUCAACUUUCCUCUCUCUCUAUUCUUGUGUAUUGCGGCAACCCCUCACCUCUCUCCUUUUCUUUUCACUGUAUUAAAAAUGGCAAGUGAUGUGAAUAAUUGCAAAAAUGUGUUCUUGUUAUUCCGCCAUCAACAAAACUAAAAAAACUUUGUUUAUUAAGAAAAUAAAUAAUCCACGUUGUUUAUUUCUUACAUUCUUUCAUAUUUCUUUAAUAAAAUAAGAGAACUUUUCUUUAUGUAUCACGGUGAAGAUAGAUAUUGUAUUAAGAAAAAUAUAUUUCUUAAUGAUCAUUUAUCAUGACCAUCAAGAAAUUAAAAAAUUGUGUUCCAAACCCUACAUCUCUCUUAAUGCAUCCUCUUUCACAAAUACUUCCGUUCCAAAAUAAUUACAGUCUGAGAAAAGUUUAGAGAGUAAAAACAAUUUCUCUCUCAAACAUUAAACCAAUAUAUAUAAAUGAUCCAUACAUAUAUAUAUGUGGAAAGUUCAAUAUGAAAUAUGUUAACAGUAUUGGUAAAAAUACUAUAUAUGGAUGGUCGUAAAAGAAAUACGUACUUUUUAAAAGUUGAACUUCCUCUUCAUCUCUGAUUGGAGAUAUUUGUUGAAAACUCCAAUAACACCUCAAAAUAAUAAUAGUAAUAAUUAUUACUAUUAUUAUUAUUACUAUUAUUGCGUAGGAUAGAACACCAUGAAAUGUUGAUAAAUUUAUUUAAUUGUGUCCUUGUCACUUGUCAGUACCACCAUAAACUUUAGAUAAUGCAGGCUGAGCAAACAUUUUUUUACUUUCUUUUCUCAUUUGUAUGCAAAAUAUAUUGCCACCAUAUAUCGUUUUGACUAAAGACGAAAGAAAGCGUGUAUACCUUAACUAUUAAAAUUUAUGUUCAAGUUAUGGAAAUAAAACCCUUAAUUACACAAAAUGAAAAUAUGUUUGUUGAUAUUAUAAAAUUUUACAAAAACCAAAUCUUUGCAAUAACAUACUAAAACCCAAACAUGGGGAAAAAGAAAAACUACAGAACCCACUCCUUCCAUUCCCCAUCUAUUUAUUUCUCAAACUUCUACCGUUCACACAUUUAACCAAACACACAAACUUUAAACCUUUUUAUUAUUUCAUCCCAUUCUACACCUUCUCUUAGGGUUUUGCACCCUCUACCACUUCACCAGCGUAGCUGCAGCACUUGUGCCCACAUCGACCAUAUCGGCAACCUCUGCCGUAGCCACCACGGCCACCACCAUAGCCUCCACGGCCACCGUAAUGACCACGACCAUACCCACCACGACCACCGCCAUAGCCUCUGUCGUACCCACCGCCAUAGCCUCUGUCGUACCCUCCACCAUAGCCUCUGUCGUACCCUCCACCAUAGCCUCUGUCGUACCCACCUCUUCCAUACUUGGCAUCCUCUACGCCAUUGGUUUCCACUGUGACCUCUGCAAUGUUAUAUUUAAAAUUAAUCCUUAACUUUACGAAAAUGUUAUAUAAAAUCAAAAUCUGUAUAUAAAGAUGUUAAAUAAUGAGUAUAUAUAUUUUACAUGAGUUUUUUCUUAAUAUUCGUGUCUGUUCGGAGUUAGUUUAUGUGUACCUAAACUAAGUUUACCGAACAAAUUUGGAUGUGAAAGGAACAAGCACAAAGAAUAUUAAAUCAUCAAUAGAAGACUACUAUGCAUUCAACUUCUUAGAUGACUUAAAAUUUAUUAUAACAUAAAACUCACCGUUGUCAGUCUUGGAGGAGGUCUCCGCAAGGUCCCUUGCAGCCACUUCAGAGGAGAGGAGAAGAACGAAGGCGAGAAGAAGGCCAAGGAAAACAAAGGCUUUGGAACUCAUAUUUGUGUGUAUUGUAAGAGAUUGGUUUUGGGGGAGAGGGAUGAGAAAGAUUUGCAUUCUUAUGGAGGUAUUUAUAGGUCCAUAAAAGGGAAAGUGAGAUGAGAAUUGAGACAAUGGCAAUGGCAAUUAAAGACUGGCCCAUAAUUUGGUUGGGUGUUAGAUGAACUGAUUGAGAAGUAUUUUGAAAUGAAGAAGAAAAUUUGAGUCAGCUCUCUUCAAAAAUCUUUAUCUUUUAAAUGAUUUGUAAUCAGUCAAACUCUUUAGUAGUGUGACUGUAUCAAACUCCAAGAGCUUCUUCUAUCCAAUUAUCAAUAAUAAUAAUAUAAUUAUGGAAAAACAAUUUGUAGCAUGCUUUCAUUUUCUAUUUCCUAAACUUGGUAAACAAAGUUAUUUGUCUUAAAAAUUAAAACUAAUAUUUUUCAUAAAUUACUUACCAAAAUCUAUCAAGUAAAUACUGUAGGUUAGUUAUUUAGGGUUCAUUUUUUUCACCUUGUGUUUUUUCUUAAAAAAAUUGAUGUUUAAUUAGAUUUUUUUUUCUAUUAAUGAUUGAUUUGUUUUGGUAUAUCAUUUUCGAUCCAAUAUAACAAAAUGAACAAAAUAUGUGACAUUUUUUAAAAUAAAAAAUAAAUUAAAAUAUUUACAAAGUAUAACAAAAUUUUAAAUUCUAUCAAUGAUAGAAACUGAUAUGCUACUAUCACUGUCUAUCCAUCUCACUAAUAGAAACAUGUUAAUGUCUAUCAAUGUCUAUUAUUGAUAAAAUAUGAAAAUCGUACUAUUUGUUGUAAAUAUUUUGUCAAAUUUACUAUUUUUUACCAUUCUCUCUUAAAAAAAUAUUUAUAAAUACAGUAAAUUUCAAAAUCUAUCAAAGAAAUUGGUAGAAAUAUUUAUAUAGUAUAUGUGAUAUAAAUAAACACUAAUAUGAUUGAAGUUUUUUGUGUCUACUAAUAUCUAUAUUUUUUAUAUUUCUAAAUUUGGCUAUAUUUAUAAAUAUUUUCAAGAAUUUUAGUUUAUACAUUUUCAAAUGGUUUAUCUUAUAUAAAAUUUGAAUAGACAAACAUAAAAUAAAGCACAGCACAAUAAAGAAAACGUUAUUGAAUAGCUUCCACUGAACCCAAUUUGCAAAUAUCAUUGAUAUUUGUAAUAUUCUUUUAAUGCUAUGUUUUCUUACAAGAUAACGAGAGGAUAUUUUUAUAUUUAUGUGAAACUCAUCAACUUAUAUGAAAAUGUCAAAACAACAUUUAUUUAUUUCAUACUCUUCAACUUGGUGUCUGUCAUUCUUUAAAUAGAAUUUUCAAAGCUCAUAAAAAUCUCUCGAAAUUUGAGAAGAUAUCAACGCCCUUACGGAUCAUUGGACAAGCAUAUCUCCUCUCUUCAAAAAUUAUUUUGAUAGCUCUAUUGCUCUAAGUAUUUAUGCUUUUGUUUAAUUGUACUGACUUUGGGUCUUUCUUGGACUUUCCUCUAACCCUUGCUUUUGUUUUCCCUUCUUUCCAUAUUAUCUAUUAUAUAUUAAUGAAGCAUGAAUGAUGAUGAUGCUACGAAGGUACUGUUCACAUAGUGGAGAUGAUGAGAUGUCUUAGUGCAUCUAUUGACCUAUCUCGUAUCUUUUUUAAAAAAAAAAAAACAUUUAUAUAUUUCGUAUACUAUAAUUUUGCAAUAAAUUUAAGAGACCUUUAUAAAACUAACUCCCAAACUAUGCGGGGUAGUGAUAGUUGUGAAACCUAUUUCUAAUUUGAGUAUAGAAAGUAAAAUUUGGUUAAGUAUUUUGAAAAUUUGUAUUUUGGAUAAGAGGAGACAUUUUGAAAUAAGACUUUGCGAUAAGAAGUAUGUGUUUGAAUCAAUCCACAGAAAUGAUUAAGUGAUAAAAUCUUUUAUGGUUAAGUAUAAGUUUUGUUAUUAAGAAGUUAAUUCACGAGGGAGUUUUGAGAAAAGAAUGAUUUGCAAUAGGACCUAUAAACACUUUCAAUAGAAAGAGUCUUCACGAGAAAAUGUUGAAGUUAUUCGUAGAAUGGAAAUAGGCGAGAAGUAAGGUCUGGCAAAGAAAACGUCUAUCUGAUUUGACAGGGGUUAAUGUGUAAGAUUAAAGGUUUAAGCAUGACUGAGUUAAAUAUUAAAUUUACAUGUGUAAAGUUUUAAUCAGGAACCAGCGAACUUAAAAGAGUUUAAGCAUGACUAAGUUAGUUUAAGAGCUAUGUAAAUAAAGGACCUAGUCAUUAAGUAAGCACAUAGAUUUUAUUAAAAAAAAAUUACUAAAAUGUUGUUGUUUUGCUUGACGAGAAAAAGAAAAAAAAAAACAAAGUGUUAAGUGCUACGAUGUGUUUCACAAGAAGGCUCCACAAAAGAAAAGGAAGAGAAGGAUUUUUGAUAAAGUGUGGGAAUGUUUUCUCUUAAAUGAAUUAAUUAUGUUAAAAAAUUUAUUAUAAUUUCUCUUUACUUAUUUAAAAGAAGAAUUCCAAUGAUAAGUGUUUCAAAUGAAAUUUAUAUCAAAAGUCUAUAUGUUUUCAAGUAUGAUUUAUAAUGUUAAAGUUGUUUUCUUGAGAUGAUGCUAACUUUUAUGUGCACAUAAAGAGUCAAGGUUACUAUGGGGUGUACAAGGCUACAUGGUGAUAAGAAGCUGGUUUAUGCUUUGAAAUGAGCGUAUAAAGCUUAGUUGGCCUGAGCAACAAGGACAAUCUGUAUGUUUUCGGAUGUUGUUGAUACAACAGUCUAAAUGUAGGGUAAUGAGACCAAACGUAGAAAACGAUUCGAGAUCCUUGAUGAAAAGUAUAAUUGACUAAUGGGUGUUAUUGUGAAAUGAAUCUUGAUGUGAUUCACAAGUUGAACUAAUUUUAUUGUAAAAAUGAUUAUAUACGUUUUGAUAUGUUUUGCCAAAUGAAGUGUUUAUUGAUAAACUGAUUUGUGUUGAAAUUUAUGAUUUGACGAAAAACAUUUUCAAAGAGCAUUGCAAAAAGGAUUUCAUUAAAACCUCACUAAAUCUUUUAAACUUGCAUUUUAAAUUUUAUCUUCCAAGAUUUAGCAUUUAGGCCAAUUAAAGAAGAAGGUUGAAGGGCUUGCGGCAAGUUGAGAAAGCCACGAGGCGUUAAAGAGCUUUGAUCGAUAAAUGUUAAUUAUUUGAUCAAAAUGUUGUAAUUGUUUGUUCAUACCAAACGCCUGUUAUUAAUAUAUUAAAGUGUGUGUUUCAGGUUAUGUUACUUAUUGUACUUGGCAUUUAAAGUUGAUUUUCGCUACGUUUUGAGUUUCACUUCAUAGUUUGAAAGGAGUUGAGAAUAAGCUAGGCAGUAAGACUAAUUGUAAAGUUUAAUUAAAGUUAAAUCUUGUAAAGUUUAAAGUUAAAUCAUGUAAAGUUUAAAGUUAAAUCACGUCCUAUCCGCACAACUUCCUGCAAUUUUGUUGUCGGAACAGAGUGUGACAAUAGCGAUGCACCUAAACUAAAUUUACUAUUUUGGUUGUUACAGUGGUCGAUAUGAAUAUAGAUCAAUGGAAAGAAGAAUAUCAACAUCCUCUCUAAAACUUAAAUAUAUUAAUCUAAAAUUUUCAUUUUUAUGUUAAAUUGAGAAGAAGAAGAAAAAAAAAAGAAACGAAAGCAAAAGUAUUAGGUAAUAAAAAUAUUUUGAAGAUGAAAAAAAUUUGAAGUACUCUUGAAAGCAUGAAUAAAUAAAAUUUGGUUCCACUUGUAUUGUUGAAUAUCCUCUUGUUCCUUUCCAACCAAAUGUUCCAGAUAACCCCAUCAACAGACUGUAAUUGUUGAUUUCAUAACACACAAACUUGAAAUCAACAAUUAAGUAAUAGAAGACCGUAAAGAUCGACACACAGAUAAAACAUGGUUCACUAACAGUGUAUUAGCAACUACAUCCACAAACAAAGGAAGAAAAAAUAUGGUUAGGAGAGAGUGUUUUCUAAUACAAAUGUAGCUGGAUAGAGUGCAUCCAAUGAAAUUCUCAUUGUUUUGGUUGCAGACCGAGCACGCCAACUUGGAUUAAGGCAGUGAUUUGGGAGGCUAUUUAGCAGAAUAAUCUCCACAGUGUUUCCCGGGUAGAAUUUAGCAUAAGAAAAAAUUUCACUUCUUAAUUAGAAUGGGAGAUUUUUACAAAUUAUUAAAGAUUGUCAGGACUAAGAUUUUCUAUCUUUGGAAGAUCAUUUCCUCUUUCCUCGUUAGGCUUAGGGAAAGAUGCUUUGACAUUAUCCCAUAUGCUAAUGUCCCUAUCCCGGAGGGGUCCUCUAGGCUUAAUAUCCCAACCAAUCUUUAAUCGAGCUAUUUGCGCCAAGGGAUGAAGCAAAAAGCUUGGGGAAGCCAAAGGAGAGAGGACCGUGUUGGUUCAAUUUUUUAUGCCAAAAAAGAAAGAGAAAGAAGAGAGCAAGAUGAUUAUACUAAAAAAGAAUUGCCACAGUUUCUAUUUUAAUUAUUAUCCCUGCAUAACUCUUUCACAUAUAUAUUUAUAUCCAUAGGUUGUACACAAGUGAAACUAUCCUCAAAUUUAUAUGCUAUUUAUAUAAUAUAUAUAUAUAAAACUAUAAUAGUAUACUAUAGUCAUGUAGUUCAAACUUCGUUUAUUACCUUUUUAUUUUAAAAAUAUUUUAUUAAUAGUAAAGUUCCUGUGAACAUAAAUUUCUCCAUCAUCUGCUCCUACUUGUAUAUAUCAUCUUUAAUUAAUUAUCAUUUAGUGUCCACAUGUACAGUUUAAUUCCCAAAUAGUGUUCAACAAAACGAAGUAUUAGAAAUUUUCACUUUAUUUUUCUCAUUCAUAACUCCUAAUAAGUAGAUAGGUCCACAUGUUUCAUGUUACAUCUAUUUAUUUUAAUGCGUAUUAAUUUUUGGUGGUGAAAUUCAAACUUUUAAUUAAAUUAAUUAUCUCAGUCAUGUUUAUUUACUAUAAAUAUCACUAUAAAGAUCAAUUGAGCUAAGCAUGCUUAAUAAAGUUUAAAAAAUUACUCUUCUAUACACGUGUGGCAAUAAAGAUAACAAAAUAUCACUAAAUGUAAAUAAAUGUUUGGCAAGUUUUAUUAUUUUUAUAACUUCUUUAGAAAUAUUCAAUCGAUAUGGAUAUGAUAUUGAUUUUUGUUUUAUAAAUUCGUGAAAUUGAGAAAUAUAAGCAUUUUCAUCAACAUUCGCAUCCUAGACAUUACUCCUAUAUGACUAAUGAAUUUGAACUAGCGAAACUAAUUCAUAAAACUAAAUGAACAAAUUUUAAAAAAUUUUAUUUAAAAUAACAAAUAUGAUAGAACGUAUAAUAUUUACAAAUGUAACGACAAAAUUUUACUUUCAGAUCGUGAAGGUUGUGGUAAACCUGAUAGACAUCAUAUAUUAUUUUAGGCGUUAUAUUGUAUUGAUAAUAAAAGUAAAAUUUUAUUCUAUUUAUAAAUAUUUAUAAUAAUUUUUUAUAUUCAAAACAAUUCAAAAAAUUAAGUUGGCCUAAAAUUUCUAUUUUCAAUAUUUAUGGCCAUAACAGUUAUUUAAGUGAUCGGACUCCAUGAGUUCGUAAAAUUUAAAUGAGUUAGGCAAACAAGUAUUAAUUUGUAAUUUAUUUCUUUUUCUUAAUUGCAUUUUCUUGUUUUUGACAUGUUUAUUUAUUUUUAAUCUAAGUUGAAUGAUAUGGUAUUAAAUUUGUCUUUCAUCCGUUAAUUUUUCUUCUUUUCUUAACAUACCUUCCAGUUAUUGUCGCUCCAAUCAUCCUCAUCUUUGUCUCCGUCCCUAGGCCCAGGCAUCUCCCUCAAUGCAUCCUCUAUCACAAAUAGGUUCCAAAAUAAUUACAGUCUAAGAAAAGUUCAUAGAGUAACAACAAUUUCUCUCUCAAACAUUAAACCAAUAUAUAUAUAUAUAUAUAUAUACUAGAAAGAACACGUGUUUUGUACGUGAAAAGUGUAAUUUUAAAUCUUAAAUUUAAUUUUAGUGUCACAAGUUAAAAACUAAUUAUAAACAAUAUCUUUAGUUUAUAUAUAUAUAUAUGCUAUUAUUAAAUUCAAAUCUACCAAUAAUAAGGUGACCAGAUUGGACAAUUAGAUCUUAACCAGAGAAUAUAAAGGACCUAUAUAACAAUAUAAGUUUAUGAAAUAUACAACUAUAUAACUACAAAAUAUUAUAUAAACAAGGAGAGAAAAUUAGUGAGCAACCAUAAUAUAACAUGUACUUUUUUUUCAUUGAAAAUAAAUUAAAAAAUAAGAAAAUAAAAAGAGAUCAAAUGAUGGAUAAAGAAGUCUCUCCAAUCCAAAAUAUAAUGCUAAAAGACGACCAAAAUUUAAUUAAUAGAUUAUAGAUACAUAAAUGAAAUAAAAUUAUAGUGCAUAGUAAGUAUUGUAGAAAUAUUGCUUAUUCGAGACAUAGUUGACAUCGUUGGAGGCCUCCUUGGAUUCUCUAUACAUUUGUUGAAAAACACAGAAAUUCUCCUUGUUUUACACCAAAUAAUUAUUCUCCUAUACGUGGAUUUAUUUGAUUGCUCACAAUUUCAUUAGAUUUUAUUUUAUAUAAAAAUACACAGAAAGAAAAUGAUUGGGAACGUGAACAUGAGUCACAAAGAAGAUGAGAGAGAAUGUGUGAGUGAUAGAAGGGAAGAAGAAAAUUUUAUAUAGCUUUAAAAUUGAGCUAAUGAAUAAUAAUAAUAAUAAUAAUAAUAAUAACAACAACGACAAUUAUUAUUACUAUUAUUGCAUAGAAUAGGAGAGACCAUGAAAUAUAGAUAAAUUUAUUUAGUUGUGGUUGCCAUUUUGAGUACCACCGUAAACUUUGGAUAUUGCAGGCAAGGUGGUUAAUAGAAUUAAGAUUUUAUUAUAUGUAGGUAAAUAUUUUCACCGAUUUUAAUAUUUAGAUGUUUUCUUUUAUUAUUAUUAUUAUUUAGUAUGAGUGAUCAUGUGAGUUUUUUUCUUUCUUUCUUUUUUCUAACGAAAUAUAUUGAAGAUUUUAACUAAAGAUGAAAGAAUGUGUGUAUACUAAAAAUAAGUGAGACGAUCAAUAAUAUCUGAAAGUAAUUAACUGAGAGAAUAGCUAAAGAAACAGACAAAACAAAUAAUACAGAAGACUUUGUUAGCCUAAUUUGACGAAUACCACCUAUAUCUGGAAGCUUCUUAGCUCAUAUAAGAAAUAUUAUUAUAUAAGAUUUAAAUGAGCAAGGAAAACACUUUUAAGUUAUUACAAAAACUUAAUUAAAGACCGACUUUCAUUGAAUUUGUGUUUGAAUCUUUUUGAAGAUAAACUCAAACUCCCUUGAAUUCAUUCACCACAGUUCAACUAUUUCAGUCUUCUUUCAUAUUUCUUAUCAACAGGUGCAGCGUAAAAACCACUUGCAGAACUUCAAUAAUAUUCCAUCUUCAUAUAAAGAAUGCAAUUCGACAACCUUCACAAACAAUAAUUUGAUCUUCGAAAGAGAACUUCUUUGAAAUCAAUUUUCUAUCAAUUUGCACGUCGAACUAAGCCAAUAUAGUUUAAUUAUUUAAAGAUCGAUAUAAUAUAUUUCCGGUAACUUCUUUAUGGAGAGAUAUAGAUAAAAGAUUCAUGUUAGGAAAGAAAAAUAUUUUAUCUUUAAAUAAUAUCCUAAUCUUUAAAUAAGGAAGUUAAUAAUAAAAAGAAAUUUAUUGGUGUUGUUGACAAAAAUAUCAACAUAUACGUUAACUAUUAAAAUUUAUGUUCAAGUUAUGGAAAUAAAAGCGUUAAUUACAGGAAAUGAAAAUAUGUUUGGUGAUAUUAUAAAAUUAAAAUUUGCAAAAGCAAAUGUUUGAAAUAACAUACUAAAACAAACCCAAACAUGGGGAAAAGAAAAACUACAGAACCCACUCCUUCCAUUCCCCAUCUAUUUAUUUCUCAAACUUCUACCGUUCACACAUUUAACCAAACACACAAACUUUAAACCUUUUUAUUAUUUCAUCCCAUUCUACACCUUCUCUUAGGGUUUUGCACCCUCUACCACUUCACCAGCGUAGCUGCAGCACUUGUGCCCACAUCGACCAUAUCGGCAACCUCUGCCGUAGCCACCACGGCCACCACCAUAGCCUCCACGGCCACCGUAAUGACCACGACCAUACCCACCACGACCACCGCCAUAGCCUCUGUCGUGCCCUCCGCCAUAG